UUUGGAGGAAAAAAAAAAAGAACAAGGUUUCCGUAGGUGAACCUGCGGAAGGAUCAUUA
RNAcentral lists this ribosomal RNA (59 nucleotides) under Amylomyces rouxii. RNAcentral's name for it is "partial 18S ribosomal RNA". It matches the Rfam family "Eukaryotic small subunit ribosomal RNA". Lineage: Eukaryota; Fungi; Mucoromycota; Mucoromycetes; Mucorales; Mucoraceae. The record is from RNAcentral.